This 253-nucleotide ribosomal RNA is filed under the name uncultured bacterium. RNAcentral's name for it is "partial 16S ribosomal RNA". It matches the Rfam family "Bacterial small subunit ribosomal RNA", at positions 524 to 776 of the family's 1533-position model. The record is from RNAcentral.
GACGUAGGGCGCAAGCGUUGUCCAGAAUUAUUGGGCGUAAAGAGCUCGUAGGCGGCUUGUCACGUCGAUUGUGAAAGCCCGAGGCUUAACCUCGGGUCUGCAGUCGAUACGGGCUAGCUAGAGUGUGGUAGGGGAGAUCGGAAUUCCUGGUGUAGCGGUGAAAUGCGCAGAUAUCAGGAGGAACACCGGUGGCGAAGGCGGAUCUCUGGGCCAUUACUGACGCUGAGGAGCGAAAGCGUGGGGAGCGAACAGG